AGCUUUGUGCAGUGGCAGUAUCGUAGCCAGUGAGGUUUACCCAAAGCGUAAUUAUUGCUGAUUGAAAACUUUUCCCAAUACCCUGCCAUGACAACUUGAAAUAUAGUCGGCAUUGGCAAUUUUUAGCAGUCUCUACAGUAA
Molecule: small nuclear RNA, 141 nt
Filed under: Dasypus novemcinctus (nine-banded armadillo)
Lineage: Eukaryota; Metazoa; Chordata; Mammalia; Cingulata; Dasypodidae
Description: U4 spliceosomal RNA (ENSDNOG00000027313.1)
Rfam family: U4 spliceosomal RNA
About the family: U4 small nuclear RNA (U4 snRNA) is a component of the major U2-dependent spliceosome. The structure of U4 snRNA from yeast and human has been reported.
Source: RNAcentral